ACGUAGGAGGCGAGCGUUAUCCGGAUUCACUGGGCGUAAAGCGCACGUAGGCGGUUGGUUAAGUCGGGCGUGAAAGCCCCUGGCUCAACUGGGGGAGGUCGUCCGAUACUGGCCGGCUUGAGGGUGAGAGAGGGGAGUGGAAUUCCCGGUGUAGCGGUGGAAUGCGUAGAGAUCGGGAGGAACACCAGUGGCGAAAGCGGCUCCCUGGCUCACCCCUGACGCUGAUUGUGCGAAAGCGUGGGGAGCAAAC
RNAcentral lists this ribosomal RNA (250 nucleotides) under uncultured bacterium. RNAcentral's name for it is "partial 16S ribosomal RNA". It matches the Rfam family "Bacterial small subunit ribosomal RNA", at positions 525 to 773 of the family's 1533-position model. The record is from RNAcentral.